UGACAGGAACAAUAAAUAAACCCUCUCUUGCAACCCAGAACUCACUGUUUGGUAUGCGUUUUGAUGCAUAUAAGAAGGAAUAUU
RNAcentral lists this small nucleolar RNA (84 nucleotides) under Cavia porcellus (domestic guinea pig). Its description in RNAcentral is "Small nucleolar RNA SNORA40 (ENSCPOG00000028908.2)". It matches the Rfam family "Small nucleolar RNA SNORA40", at positions 45 to 128 of the family's 128-position model. From Rfam's summary of the family: The snoRNA ACA 40 belongs to the H/ACA family of snoRNAs and guides the pseudouridylation of 28S rRNA subunit at position U4565. NB This family has a high threshold value to exclude a large number of closely related sequences that do not appear to have conserved H and ACA boxes, and may be pseudogenes. The record is from RNAcentral. Lineage: Eukaryota; Metazoa; Chordata; Mammalia; Rodentia; Caviidae.